This 418-nucleotide long non-coding RNA is filed under the name Eucalyptus grandis. RNAcentral describes it as "long non-coding RNA (EGRA_LNC001623)". The record is from RNAcentral. Lineage: Eukaryota; Viridiplantae; Streptophyta; Magnoliopsida; Myrtales; Myrtaceae.
CCAUCCUCUUCCUCUCGAUUUCUCGAUUCUGUGCCAUUCCGCUUUCAUUUUCUUCGGUGGAGAACCUGCAGCUCUUCUCUUCGGAAACUGAAGCUCACGCCAGCAUCUCCAGCGAAGACCACUCAUCUUCGGUCUUCCUUCGUGCCUUCAAAUCAGUUCACCGAAGGCAUCAUCAACUUUGGUCGGCCACUCACGCCAGCCUCCACCAAAAGUCAGCCACCGGCAGUCCAGCGAAACUGCCCCUCAUCCGCGCCACCUGCCUGCUCCUUCUUCUGCUUCGGUCAGCAAACGAAACCGCCGAAGCUCGAGUCCAACGUCUUCAGCCCGAGCAUAUCGUGGAGUCCACGAAGACCGAAGCCAGCUUCUAUUCGGUCAGCUUCUCUCCUUCAAUCACCAGCGUGGACUCCUCCCCUGCCAG